Molecule: small nuclear RNA, 104 nt
Filed under: Aotus nancymaae (Ma's night monkey)
Lineage: Eukaryota; Metazoa; Chordata; Mammalia; Primates; Aotidae
Source: RNAcentral
GUGCUCACUUCAGUAGCACAUAUAUUAAAUUUGAAACAGCACAGAGAUUAGCAUGGCCCCCGAACAAAGAUGACCUACAGAUUCCUGAAGCAUUCCACAUUUAA